Long non-coding RNA from Dreissena polymorpha, 251 nucleotides. RefSeq lists it as uncharacterized. NCBI's taxonomy places the organism in Eukaryota, Metazoa, Mollusca, Bivalvia, Myida, Dreissenidae. The record is from RefSeq and is a predicted model, not a curated record. The transcript is spliced from 3 exons.
GAGCCACGCAUUUUAAAGCGUUCAAGUUUGGAUGUCACCAUCAGCGAAGACGAAGCGAGACAUUAUUGCACCUCAGUUAUAGAGGAAACGUCAGCAGCAACACUGGGAUUAUUUGAAUUUGCAAGUGAAAAUAUGACAGCCGUAAUUUCUGACUGCACAUUUGAUGUUCAUAUGGGCAAUGAUUACACUUUAUCGAGACCUCACGUUGAAUCCGUAAACAUCGUGGUUCGUUAUAUGCUAGAAAAAGACCC